GCGGAUGUAGUUCAUUGGUAGAACUCCGGCUUCCCAAGCCGGCAGGGCGGGUUCGAUUCCCGUCAUCCGCUCCA
This is a transfer RNA of 74 nucleotides. It matches the Rfam family "tRNA". From Rfam's summary of the family: Transfer RNA (tRNA) molecules are approximately 80 nucleotides in length.